This 308-nucleotide ribosomal RNA is filed under the name uncultured Pseudomonadota bacterium. RNAcentral's name for it is "bacterial SSU rRNA". It matches the Rfam family "Bacterial small subunit ribosomal RNA", at positions 29 to 351 of the family's 1533-position model. Lineage: Bacteria; Pseudomonadati; Pseudomonadota. The record is from RNAcentral.
AGCGAACGCUAGCGGCGGGCCUAACACAUGCAAGUCGAGCGGAGAUCUUCGGGUCUCAGCGGCGAACGGGUGAGUAACACGUAGGUAAUGUAUCCUUUGGUGGGGAAUAACCGUGGGAAACCAUGGCUAAUACCGCAUAUCGUGCUUCGGCAUGAAAGCCUUCGGGCGCCAGUUGAGCAGCCUGCGUCCCAUUAUUUAGUCCUAGUUGGUGGGGUAAUGGCCUACCAAGGGUACGAUGGGUAGCUGGUCUGAGAGGAUGAUCAGCCACACUGGAACUGAGACACGGUCCAGACUCCUACGGGUGGCUG